This 879-nucleotide long non-coding RNA is filed under the name Mytilus galloprovincialis (Mediterranean mussel). The record is from RNAcentral. Lineage: Eukaryota; Metazoa; Mollusca; Bivalvia; Mytilida; Mytilidae.
CUUUAUGUAUGUAUGUACUGGUAAAUGCCUCCGAUAUCCGAAGAACCCCUCGAAAGCUGCGAGGGUACAGUGGCAUCCAUGUACACUCCCUAACGGGAUUAAUGGAGAUGUGUCACUAACGUAUAUUUAUACGACAAUUAUUUUUACAAGGACAACCAAUCCCCACCCAAUUCAACACAAAGGGAGUGCUAGGACACCGGGAAGUCUGUUAUUGUGGUGGAGGAAGCCGAAGUACUCGGAGAGAACCACCGGGCCACUCGGUGGAAACAGACAAACCAGAGAGAUAUCAGAAGAUUGAUCUCCAGGUCAAAGUAGGGACACUUUGACCAACCGAGGCCCCCAACGUACCCAUUCUAGUUUAAACUCCGGUCUGGGUACCAGAGAUGUGUGUGAGAGGGUGAAAAUUACCCUUCUAAUGUACUGAGAUUUUUAGCACCCCGAGUGAGAAUCGAACUCGGGACCUUCAGCACUGUAGCCAUCGGUCUUAACCACUAGACCACGAACUCACACUUUAAUAAAAGUAUGAAAUAUAUUUUUGGUAUUGUUUGGAAAUAUUUGUUUUGUGUUUCUUUUUCUGAUUAUGGUCAGCAUUGUCUGGUUGUAUGCUAGCGUGUGCCGUUGAUUCUAGUGCGGUAGGUCGUGGGUUCGAACCCUGGUAGGUCAAACCAAUGACUUAAAAAUUGGUAGAACAAUGUGUCCAGGUAGGUUGACAUGUCUUCCACCGGAAUGUUUACAGAGAAUGCUUAUAACAUGUUCUCGUCUUCUAGAAGCUUAUAACUUGCUGCUGGACAUAAAUAUAUACAUGUAUGUACAUAAGAACUAGUGUUGAAGCUUUUCGAUAGUACAGGUCACAGGACAAUCGGAAAGUUUUGGUUGACC